UGAGGAAUAUUGGUCAAUGGGCGCAAGCCUGAACCAGCCAUCCCGCGUGCAGGAAGACGGCGCUAUGCGUUGUAAACUGCUUUUCCAGGGGGAGAAACUUGCGCACGUGUUGCGCAAUUGACGGUACCCUGGGAAUAAGCAUCGGCUAACUCCGUGCCAGCAGCCGCGGUAAUACGGAGGAUGCGAGCGUAAUCCGGUUUCAUUGGGUUUAAAGGGUGCGUAGGCGGACUAUUAAGUCAGUGGUGAAAUCCUGCAGCUUAACUGCAGAACUGCCAUUGAUACUGAUAGCCUUGAGUUUGGUUAAGGUAGGCGGAAUGUGUAAUGUAGCGGUGAAAUGCUUAGAUAUUACACAGAACACCAAUUGCGUAGGCAGCUUACUGAGCCGACACUGACGCUGAGGCACGAAAGCGUGGGGAUCGAACAG
RNAcentral lists this ribosomal RNA (424 nucleotides) under uncultured bacterium. RNAcentral describes it as "bacterial SSU rRNA". It matches the Rfam family "Bacterial small subunit ribosomal RNA", at positions 355 to 775 of the family's 1533-position model. The record is from RNAcentral.